CCUAGUGCUAUCAAAAAAAAAACCCAAAAUGCAGCCCUGCCAACACUCUGAUAUUAGCCUAAUGAGACUUAUUUUGGACUUCUGUCUUCUAGAACUGCUGGAUAAUAAAUUUGUGUGGUUUUUAAGGCACUAAAUUUAUAGUAAUUUGUUACAGCAACAGAUUUAGGAAACUAAUACAAACUGUUAUUAUUGUUAUCUAUGCAAAGAAAGCUAGUUGUCGGUGAAAGGGGGUGUCCCUCCUUCCUUGGUGUAGAGAUUUUUAUGGAACUGGGUGCUGUCAAAAGUUGAGAAGUAGCACAAUUAAAACCAUCAAAUUAAUAAAUAGUAUCUAGUAAGAAUUUAUUAUGCAUCUAAGAGUUUUCAAAUUCAAAGACUCAUGUGAAACUCAGGGGCACAGUGUUACAGGAUGGCUUAUAAAGUGAAAAUGAGAGAGCUGUCAGCUUUGACAGUGAUUGUAAUGGGAGUUUCCAGACGGCAGAGGAUUGGUUAGAAGUGAUUAUCUGACACCAUUUUUAGGAAGAUAGCUUAAGUUUGAUGGUUUUCAGAGGUAGUUACAGGGAAUAACUUAAGUACCACAUAUGUUCAUGAAAUAAGAUUUAGUUAUACUAACUGUCAGCUCAGGGAAUUCUCAGGUCUGGUCUCCAUUUUCUAUUUAAUUUGAAAAAUUUUCCCCUUGUGUCCAUUCUUUGAGCAAGUUUAGAGUGUGAUGAGCUAGUACCAUGUUACUCUCAGCAGCCACUGUUAAUAGAGGCUGAAAAAAAAUCACAUAUUUGCUGUUUCCAUUAGUCGGGUCAUCAGGAUGGAGGGUCACGUAGUUGCUAUUCCCAACAUUUGCGUGUCAUCCUAGAUGUGGGUGAUGAGAUCACUGAGUUCUUCCAGUUGCCUAAUUCUCAUGGGAGUCAUUUAAUGUGUGAAUGGCUGCUGAAAAGCAUUUUAAAAGGCCCUUGAUAAGAUACAAUGCCCUAGAGAGGUUAAUAUGAUGACUAUAUGGAGAAUAAUAGCCAAGGAUUGAAAAAUUCUUCAGGGCAGAGAUUCACAGGAGACAAGAUUUAACCAAGUAAAUAAAUCAAAUGGGUUCUAAUAAGGUACAAGUUUCAUCCCCUUUUUUGGGCUAAUGUGUUCAUAUUUGAGUUUCAAUUAUUUCUGAGUUAUUUAUAUAAGCACCACAUGAUGUAUUAGCAAUGACAUAUACUCUUGAUUACCUAGGACAAGAUAAACAUACGGACAGACCUUUUCAUUUCAGGUGGUGGCAUUGCAGGUGAGCUUCUACUUAGAUUAGGCCUUUAUGUGAUGUGAGUCAGGUAAUUUAAUGAGAGGAAUUUCUAUGGAAACAAGCUAACAAAAAAACUUAAUAAAGGUUACUUUUAAACAAAGCUUAAAAGAUUAACAAAAGUUCAAGCAAAUUAUUAACUCAGUUUCUGAGUUUGCUGAGCAGCCAGUUCAGAAAAUUUCUAUAUUUGAGCUUGAAGCAUCAUUACAUGGUGGAAUGAGGAUGGCAGUUUCAGUCUGACGGAUUUUCUUGGCUAGCAAGUUUGACUGUAUUUGAUGUUAUAGGGUGUUUUGGUGAACUUGCUUAAAUGGCCCAUACAGCAAUGGGCAUGAAGGUUUUCUAUGUACAAUCUGUUCUGGUGCUUUCUCUGAAAUCUACAAGUAGAUAACAAAACCUUGAAGACAAUUAACAGGACUAGAAUCUGAUAAUGGAUACACUGUGAUUAUCUGUUGAAUACAUUUUUUAUACUUGUCUCAUUUUUAUCAAAGAUGUUAACUAUGAAACCAAUUUGUAAAGCAAGUCUAGUUUCAUUAAACUUGGCUUGAUUAUUUCCAUAAGUGUAAGACUAGUGAUUCCAUUGGGAAAAUAAAAUAAAAUUAAAUUAAAAAAAGAAAAGAUAAAAUUGGGGAAGAUGUUCAGAGAUAUGGAUAGGAGAUGUUCUUCAUUUGGUGACUGAUUAGAAAAUAAUAAUGGCCAAGUCUUACUGUACUAGGCAUGAAGUUAUUUAAUAAUCAUUGUAACUUAGUGCUCUCAGUACUAUUGCUAUCACCAUUUUAUAAAUGAAGAAAGUGAGGCAUAGAAAAACCAGGUAAUUUGCCCAGGUAACAGCAUGCACAGCUAUUGUAGAAUCAGGCCAGUAAUCAAACACUGGGAGGCUGACAUCACAGCAGUACCGUCAGUCAUCAAGCUGUGUCCUGUUGGAUCAUAGGAAUGAGAGUCUGAGAAGCCAUAAGAUACCUUUGUUCUUCAACUUGGGUAAAUGGACAGUGUUUUUAUUAAACUGGGAAGAAAUGUACAUUUGUUUUGCUUUACCUCAUUUUGGCCCUUGCCAAAGAGAUGAAGUAACUUGGCUGAGGUCACAUAGGGCAGUCCCUCUGUAUAAUAGAGAUUCCAGCUUCAUGAGAUCAGGUUCAAGGCUUCGCUCUAUCAGAGUACUAACUGGAAGCCUUCUUAUCCUUGGCUCUCUGCUAUGUCGUAUGAGAAUUGAAGUACCAAUCUUUACCUUGAGUAGCAUUUAACAUGAAACUAAAAGAGCUUAAACUUCUAGGGCCUUUGAUGGCAUUUAUUAAUAGAGUUAAUUCAUGUAUUGGGACCCACAAAAUGGAGACUGCCCUACUGGCCUGGCUCACUUCACAAAUCUAAACUUAAGUCAGCCUGCAUUUACUGGAAAUGUCUUACUGUCAAAGAAACCAAACACCAAUCACAAUCCCCCAACUCAGUUUUAGCUAGCAUGCCUUACCCUAGAAAUAGGACCUGUUAGACUUACAAGGAAAUCCUACAUUUCUGAGCCCAUCAUGCCCUGUUUCUGCUCUGCCACUAAUUGCCUAUAACAUUCUUUAAAACUUGCUCUUGCCCAAAAUGCUUGGGAAAGAGUGUACCAUUGCUUGGUAGGCACUGUCCCCACCAAGCCAUAGAUUGCCUUCUUUUGAAAAAAGGACAUCAAAUUCAUUAAUCAGUUGUUCUAGUUUUGUCAUUUGACACAUAGGUCUUCUAAGACUGUGCCAGCUAAAGAAUGUCAUUAGGCGUCUGGCUCUAUAAGGAUUGUCACUAGCCACUGCAGCCACUGACCUUGAAUACACACUGAAAUGAGCUCAGGAAUGAGGCAUUUUGUGCUCUGGGAAAACUGGCAGAACAGGCCUUCAAAUAGUUCUUUUUCAGGAGAAGUUUUUUAUGAACCUGGAUAUUUUCAUCUUCCCAUACUUAGAAAAGCACUAAAACCAUAAAAUAUCUGAUCUUUGUGACUAGUAGCAACCUUCCACUGAGAUGUGUACUUGGUUGCAUGUACCCCCUUCACCAAAAUCAUAUAUAUACUGAUCUCCCCACUUCCCUCUUCAGAGCAUUUCCUCAGAGAUAUCUGAAGGGCUGUCAUCCAGGCUAUACUCCUCAAUAAAACAUGGAAUAAACUCCACUCAUGGCUUUUAUAUUGUGGUUUUCUUUUUUUUAAGUCAGUAUCUCUAUACUUAAUUUCAUAAGCAUUUUUUUUUCAUUUUUCUCCCAUAAUUUGCCCAGAGAUACAUAAGCUUCCCACAAAGACUGAAUCUGCCCUGGAUCUAUUUUUUACUUGAGUAGUUAUGAUUGUUUAUAAACCUGGGGAGAAAAUCAAGAUCUCCUGUUACCCAAGCCCCAGAUUUCCUUCCCCUCAACAACAGUGGAUGCCUCUUCUCUCCUUUCCAAAUCCCUGGACCUCCUGCCUCAUGGUCACUUCCUUUGCACCCCAUCACUGUAUCCCUAAUGUCCAGGCAUCCCUAACUCUCUUAGAUAGUGCUGUGGCAUAUAAAAAUAACUUUCCUACUCUGCAAAUGUCUGAAGGUAGAAUAAGAAUACCAUUCUCUUAGGUACAUUUUCUUGAUGUAAAUUCUGCAAAGUUUUAACUCCCAUCAUUCCAGUGGGCAUUCACAUCUUAAGAGAGGCUGUUUAUUAACAUAAAAGAAUGAGGAAUGAGUGAGUAUAUAUAUAAAGGGAGACUCUGCAGCUGCUAAGCCGGCAGCCAGGUUCCUACUCUGUCCUGUGUGGCAUUCCAGGGUAGGACUUGUGCGCCAUGAAACUGGGCAACAUAACUUGAGGAGGUGAGAUCAUCAUCACAAGAACUGAUUUACUUCAAAAAUCUCAAUUCUGAAAAAAUGUUUAGCCAAGGUUGUUAAAAUGAAAAAUGGAGACAUGAGCUAGGUUACUUUCAUUUUUUUCCCCACAGUGCUCCAGUUGAAUUCAACAGCAGUUAAAAUUUUAUACCUUGAAAAUACUUGCAUAUUUCACAAGUAUAAAUUCAACUCUGGCUGGCAUAAAGCAGACUUUCCAGUUAAUGAAGCAUUUCAAAUACAUUUAUCUUCUUCUCAUAAAGGAAAGCAAAAAAAAAAAAAAGAAAGAA
RNAcentral lists this long non-coding RNA (4355 nucleotides) under Sus scrofa (pig). RNAcentral's name for it is "lncRNA (ENSSSCG00015029703.1)". The record is from RNAcentral. Lineage: Eukaryota; Metazoa; Chordata; Mammalia; Artiodactyla; Suidae.